CCUACGGGAGGCAGCAGUGAGGAAUAUUGGUCAAUGGACGAGAGUCUGAACCAGCCAAGUAGCGUGAAGGAUGACUGCCCUAUGGGUUGUAAACUUCUUUUAUAAAGGAAUAAAACGAGGCACGUGUGCCUUUUUGCAUGUACUUUAUGAAUAAGGAUCGGCUAACACCGUGCCAGCAGCCGCGGUAAUACGGAGGAUCCGAGCGUUAUCCGGAUUUAUUGGGUUUAAAGGGAGCGUAGAUGGGUUGUUAAGUCAGUUGUGAAAGUUUGCGGCUCAACCGUAAAAUUGCAAUUGAUACUGGCAGUCGUGAGUACAGUUGAGGUAGGCGGAAUUCGUGGUGUAGCGGUGAAAUGCUUAGAUAUCACGAAGAACCCCGAUUGCGAAGGCAGCUUACUAAACUGUGACUGACAUUGAUGCUCGAAAGUGUGGGUAUCAAACAGGAUUAGAUACCCCAGUGUC
This 459-nucleotide ribosomal RNA is filed under the name uncultured bacterium. RNAcentral describes it as "partial 16S ribosomal RNA". It matches the Rfam family "Bacterial small subunit ribosomal RNA", at positions 338 to 795 of the family's 1533-position model. The record is from RNAcentral.